CCAACGUGGGUAUCCAGAGAGGUUGCUCUCUUUGGCUCUGUCUGUGUGGCGUAUGGGAGCGUAGUGCCGACAGGUACAGUGAUGUAUAAUCCUAUUCCACAACGUUGGAUAUUAUGUUUGUUCCCAGCCAUUGGGCUGGUGGGGAUCCAUCCUGUAUAUUCCUAGACCUUCUCAGAGUCUCUGACAAUUACUGAGAAGAUAAACCAUGCAGGAUACAUUC
Small nucleolar RNA from Callorhinchus milii (elephant shark), 220 nucleotides. Its record names the gene SNORA73. It matches the Rfam family "Small nucleolar RNA SNORA73 family". From Rfam's summary of the family: U17 (SNORA73A and SNORA73B) also known as E1 belongs to the H/ACA class of small nucleolar RNAs (snoRNAs). Vertebrate U17 is intron-encoded and ranges in length from 200-230 nucleotides, longer than most snoRNAs. NCBI's taxonomy places the organism in Eukaryota, Metazoa, Chordata, Chondrichthyes, Chimaeriformes, Callorhinchidae. The record is from Ensembl.